CGAGAAUUUCCAAAACACACGUUUAGCUCGUGAUUGGAGCGAUGCUGAGCUCCAACAUCCCCCUCGCUGGUGACUCUCAACUCGUUUCCUGAAAUUGCUCCAUCGAUAGGAAAAUCGACGAUUCCAACACCAUCCAAGCGCUCAAGUGAGGUAACGGACUUAGUAGGAAGGCUUGGCUCCACCAUCCAAGCGCUCAAGAGAGGUAACGUACUUAGUAGGAAGACUUGGCUCCACCAGCUGGAAAGUAUUGAAAGGUGGAUGGUGAACAUGGCGAAUCUGCCGUUGUUUAUUUUGGGGAAGAUCUGUAAAAAAAUUUCAACGGUUUUUCGAUCCUUUAAGAAUGCGUCUCAGAGACAACUUUUGGCGCGGGAGGACCAUAUUCUGUUUACGGAUGGGAACAUGAACAGAGCUUGAAGAGGGAUUAAUCUCAACGAUGUGGGAGCUAGGAACCGCUGUGGAGUUGCUUUGAGAAUUAAGGGGAACCUUGGAAGGUAUGGGAGUCCAAGUUUGAGCUUUAUGUGUCGUGCUUUAUUUAAUAAUUUUUCCAUUUAUAUAAUACAGUAAUUUUAGUUUCAAUUGAUCAGACCGGUCAUGUCGUCCAUCAUCAUCGCCAAUGAAACGUCGGCCACCUUGCGCUGGUGUAGUCCGUGCCACAUCUCUCGACCGG
This 667-nucleotide long non-coding RNA is filed under the name Linum usitatissimum (flax). Its description in RNAcentral is "long non-coding RNA (LUSI_LNC006075)". Lineage: Eukaryota; Viridiplantae; Streptophyta; Magnoliopsida; Malpighiales; Linaceae. The record is from RNAcentral.